UGUCACCUCCAGUUUCCAUUUUAAAUUGUAAAAUUUCCAAAUUUGGAGACAAGCAGAUAUUUUUCUCAUCUUGAAAAGGAGGAGCGAGCGUUAGCUAGCUGAUUAGCCGUAGGUGGGAAACGAACCAUCUCUAAUAAAAACAGUAACUUUUAGAGAAACUCUGGGGAAGUUCUGUAGUCCCACCCUGCCCCGUGACCUUUCAUUCUCUUAGUUCUUCUGCCACAGAGAAGCACCGAUCGACUAAUAAAAGAUUUGAUCUUGCUAUAAUUUCCCAAGCAGGGCAGAGUAUUGGAGAGAAUGAAGCCAAACUAUGCCAGAAGUUUCUCCUUGCAUCACUGGUAACUCUUAAACUGCAUGUACCCAAGAUAAGACCUUGUGAGACCUAGGAACAAUGUUUUCUAUGAAGUUGAGAGUAAAGCAGAAACUUCAGAAAUCGCAUGUAUCGGAAAGACAAUGAAGAUCAGCUCCAGUGAGUAGAGACCAUGAUGAACAGCCUAAAUAUUAAAGUGAGAUCCCAGAAAGGUCAUUCUGUAUGAUUAAGGGCUAGACACUAGAAGUAAGGGAAAUAGAACCGCUAUAUCAAAUUCAUAAACCAAACUUUGACAGCAUCAAUGUGAUCUACCAGCAAUUGAUUUACCACCCAGAAUAAAAAAAAACACACUCUUUACUAGAAAAUAACAUAAGCCAGAAUUCUAACACAUAACAUUAACAAUGCCUAGCAUACAAUUUAAAAAGAACCAAGUGAAUAGUCUAUAACUGCAAAAUAUAUCUGAU
RNAcentral lists this long non-coding RNA (774 nucleotides) under Callithrix jacchus (white-tufted-ear marmoset). RNAcentral describes it as "lncRNA (ENSCJAG00000059186.2)". Lineage: Eukaryota; Metazoa; Chordata; Mammalia; Primates; Cebidae. The record is from RNAcentral.